GUGUCAGCCGCCGCGGUAAUACGAAGGGGGCUAGCGUUGCUCGGAAUCACUGGGCGUAAAGGGUGCGUAGGCGGGUCUUUAAGUCAGGGGUGAAAUCCUGGAGCUCAACUCCGGAACUGCCCUUGAUACUGAGGAUCUUGAGUUCGGGAGAGGUGAGUGGAACUGCGAGUGUAGAGGUGAAAUUCGUAGAUAUUCGCAAGAACACCAGUGGCGAAGGCGGCUCACUGGCCCGAUACUGACGCUGAGGCACGAAAGCGUGGGGAGCAAACAGGAUUAGAUACCCGGGUAGUCC
Molecule: ribosomal RNA, 292 nt
Filed under: uncultured Bradyrhizobiaceae bacterium
Lineage: Bacteria; Pseudomonadati; Pseudomonadota; Alphaproteobacteria; Hyphomicrobiales; Nitrobacteraceae
Description: partial 16S ribosomal RNA
Rfam family: Bacterial small subunit ribosomal RNA
Source: RNAcentral